Molecule: ribosomal RNA, 2902 nt
Filed under: Klebsiella pneumoniae
Lineage: Bacteria; Pseudomonadati; Pseudomonadota; Gammaproteobacteria; Enterobacterales; Enterobacteriaceae
Description: 23S ribosomal RNA
Rfam family: Bacterial large subunit ribosomal RNA
Source: RNAcentral
GGUUAAGCGACUAAGCGUACACGGUGGAUGCCCUGGCAGUCAGAGGCGAUGAAGGACGUGCUAAUCUGCGAAAAGCGUCGGUAAGGUGAUAUGAACCGUUAUAGCCGGCGAUGUCCGAAUGGGGAAACCCAGUGCAAUUCGUUGCACUAUCGUUAACUGAAUACAUAGGUUAACGAGGCGAACCGGGGGAACUGAAACAUCUAAGUACCCCGAGGAAAAGAAAUCAACCGAGAUUCCCCCAGUAGCGGCGAGCGAACGGGGAGCAGCCCAGAGUCUGAAUCAGCUUGUGUGUUAGUGGAACGGUCUGGAAAGUCCGACGGUACAGGGUGAUAGUCCCGUACACCAAAAUGCACAGGCUGUGAACUCGAAGAGUAGGGCGGGACACGUGGUAUCCUGUCUGAAUAUGGGGGGACCAUCCUCCAAGGCUAAAUACUCCUGACUGACCGAUAGUGAACCAGUACCGUGAGGGAAAGGCGAAAAGAACCCCGGCGAGGGGAGUGAAAAAGAACCUGAAACCGUGUACGUACAAGCAGUGGGAGCACCUUCGGGUGUGACUGCGUACCUUUUGUAUAAUGGGUCAGCGACUUAUAUUCUGUAGCAAGGUUAACCGUAUAGGGGAGCCGCAGGGAAACCGAGUCUUAACUGGGCGUUAAGUUGCAGGGUAUAGACCCGAAACCCGGUGAUCUAGCCAUGGGCAGGUUGAAGGUUGGGUAACACUAACUGGAGGACCGAACCGACUAAUGUUGAAAAAUUAGCGGAUGACUUGUGGCUGGGGGUGAAAGGCCAAUCAAACCGGGAGAUAGCUGGUUCUCCCCGAAAGCUAUUUAGGUAGCGCCUCGUGAACUCAUCUUCGGGGGUAGAGCACUGUUUCGGCUAGGGGGUCAUCCCGACUUACCAACCCGAUGCAAACUACGAAUACCGAAGAAUGUUAUCACGGGAGACACACGGCGGGUGCUAACGUCCGUCGUGAAGAGGGAAACAACCCAGACCGCCAGCUAAGGUCCCAAAGUCAUGGUUAAGUGGGAAACGAUGUGGGAAGGCACAGACAGCCAGGAUGUUGGCUUAGAAGCAGCCAUCAUUUAAAGAAAGCGUAAUAGCUCACUGGUCGAGUCGGCCUGCGCGGAAGAUGUAACGGGGCUAAACCAUGCACCGAAGCUGCGGCAGCGACACUAUGUGUUGUUGGGUAGGGGAGCGUUCUGUAAGCCUGCGAAGGUGACCUGUGAGGGUUGCUGGAGGUAUCAGAAGUGCGAAUGCUGACAUAAGUAACGAUAAAGCGGGUGAAAAGCCCGCUCGCCGGAAGACCAAGGGUUCCUGUCCAACGUUAAUCGGGGCAGGGUGAGUCGACCCCUAAGGCGAGGCCGAAAGGCGUAGUCGAUGGGAAACAGGUUAAUAUUCCUGUACUUGGUGUUACUGCGAAGGGGGGACGGAGAAGGCUAUGUUAGCCGGGCGACGGUUGUCCCGGUUUAAGCAUGUAGGCUGGUUGUCCAGGCAAAUCCGGAUAAUCAAGGCUGAGGUGUGAUGACGAGGCACUACGGUGCUGAAGUAACAAAUGCCCUGCUUCCAGGAAAAGCCUCUAAGCAUCAGGUAACAUUAAAUCGUACCCCAAACCGACACAGGUGGUCAGGUAGAGAAUACCAAGGCGCUUGAGAGAACUCGGGUGAAGGAACUAGGCAAAAUGGUGCCGUAACUUCGGGAGAAGGCACGCUGGUGUGUAGGUGAAGUCCCUGCGGAUGGAGCUGAGACCAGUCGAAGAUACCAGCUGGCUGCAACUGUUUAUUAAAAACACAGCACUGUGCAAACACGAAAGUGGACGUAUACGGUGUGACGCCUGCCCGGUGCCGGAAGGUUAAUUGAUGGGGUUAUCCGUAAGGAGAAGCUCUUGAUCGAAGCCCCGGUAAACGGCGGCCGUAACUAUAACGGUCCUAAGGUAGCGAAAUUCCUUGUCGGGUAAGUUCCGACCUGCACGAAUGGCGUAAUGAUGGCCAGGCUGUCUCCACCCGAGACUCAGUGAAAUUGAACUCGCUGUGAAGAUGCAGUGUACCCGCGGCAAGACGGAAAGACCCCGUGAACCUUUACUAUAGCUUGACACUGAACAUUGAGCCUUGAUGUGUAGGAUAGGUGGGAGGCUUUGAAGCGUGGACGCCAGUCUGCGUGGAGCCAACCUUGAAAUACCACCCUUUAAUGUUUGAUGUUCUAACGUUGGCCCCUUACCGGGGUUGCGGACAGUGUCUGGUGGGUAGUUUGACUGGGGCGGUCUCCUCCCAAAGCGUAACGGAGGAGCACGAAGGUUAGCUAAUCCUGGUCGGACAUCAGGAGGUUAGUGCAAUGGCAUAAGCUAGCUUGACUGCGAGCGUGACGGCGCGAGCAGGUGCGAAAGCAGGUCAUAGUGAUCCGGUGGUUCUGAAUGGAAGGGCCAUCGCUCAACGGAUAAAAGGUACUCCGGGGAUAACAGGCUGAUACCGCCCAAGAGUUCAUAUCGACGGCGGUGUUUGGCACCUCGAUGUCGGCUCAUCACAUCCUGGGGCUGAAGUAGGUCCCAAGGGUAUGGCUGUUCGCCAUUUAAAGUGGUACGCGAGCUGGGUUUAGAACGUCGUGAGACAGUUCGGUCCCUAUCUGCCGUGGGCGCUGGAGAAUUGAGGGGGGCUGCUCCUAGUACGAGAGGACCGGAGUGGACGCAUCACUGGUGUUCGGGUUGUCAUGCCAAUGGCACUGCCCGGUAGCUAAAUGCGGAAGAGAUAAGUGCUGAAAGCAUCUAAGCACGAAACUUGCCCCGAGAUGAGUUCUCCCUGAGACUUUAAGUCUCCUGAAGGAACGUUGAAGACGACGACGUUGAUAGGCCGGGUGUGUAAGCGCAGCGAUGCGUUGAGCUAACCGGUACUAAUGAACCGUGAGGCUUAACCUU